CUUCUUGCUGUUCCGUUUCUUCAUCCACAUUUUCCAACGAUUCCGCUUCGUCAAAUCCAUCGACAGUCGGUUCAGGUUCAGGCUCAGGUUCCGGUUCCGGUUCCUGUUCGGCUUCGAGCUCGGAUUCCUGCUCAGCUUGAUUUUUAUUUACCAUAUCCGAUUCUGCGCAACAAUCAUAGAUGUCACCUGAGAUUCGUUAACCUCCGCCACCGGUUCUAGUGACAUAUCUUCGUUUUCGCUAAGGUCAGCGUCAUCAUCCCCAUUGUCAGCUACAGUAUCGCCCUCUUCCGGUGUGACUUCGAUGAUUACAGCUUCGUCCGGCUCCAAGCUGCGAUCGUCGGGCGUUUCGUCGUUCGCUACAAAAAAUGACGUUGCGGUCUCCUGCACACAUCGGCGAGUUCAUCCAUCAAAAAUCUUUUGUUUUUCGCCUCGUUUCGCCGAUAUUUACAAUACGAGAAUAGCAACACGCAUAUUGAAGUUGUUUUUAGUAUAAUACAGGGCUUUACGCUUUA
Long non-coding RNA from Daphnia magna, 512 nucleotides. RefSeq lists it as uncharacterized. Lineage: Eukaryota; Metazoa; Arthropoda; Branchiopoda; Diplostraca; Daphniidae. The record is from RefSeq and is a predicted model, not a curated record. The transcript has 2 exons.